This 253-nucleotide ribosomal RNA is filed under the name uncultured bacterium. Its description in RNAcentral is "partial 16S ribosomal RNA". It matches the Rfam family "Bacterial small subunit ribosomal RNA", at positions 524 to 776 of the family's 1533-position model. The record is from RNAcentral.
GACGAACCGUGCGACCGUUGUUCGGAUUCACUGGGCUUAAAGGGCGCGUAGGCGGGUGGCCAAGUCGGGGGUGAAAUCCUUCAGCUUAACUGAAGAACAGCCUUCGAUACUGGUCGUCUGGAGGGGGGUAGGGGCAGACGGAACUUCCGGUGGAGCGGUGAAAUGCGUAGAUAUCAAGCGGAACACCAGUGGCGAAGGCGAGUCCCUGGACAACUCCUGACACUGAUGCACGAAAGCUAGGGGAGCAAACAGG